Molecule: long non-coding RNA, 1656 nt
Filed under: Lotus japonicus
Lineage: Eukaryota; Viridiplantae; Streptophyta; Magnoliopsida; Fabales; Fabaceae
Description: long non-coding RNA (LJAP_LNC000278)
Source: RNAcentral
AUGAAAGGAGCUAUAGCUACUCUAUAGCUGCAGAGGUAGGCUCAAUUGGCCGAACUGCAUUAACAAACGUUCUUGUUGUCUAUUACUUCGUUGUGGUCUAUUGUAACUCUGAGCAAUUUCACGGGGGUGCCUACGCUAACACAAAUAAAGCUUUAUGAUCAGUGAUUUUCGCCCUUCUAUCUCUGCCAUUGCCAUUGGAGAGAAAGAGAUAGUGUGUGAGAGAGAGACUUUGUGUCUGUUCUGAACUUGACGAGAGAAUUUAUAUCUUUUGUUGUGAUUUUUAAUAAUUAAUCAAUAUCAAUAUCAAUCAAUAUAUUUAUUAAAACAACAAGGAUUAUAAAACUUAUUUGCUUAUGUGUCGGCUCCUCAUACAUUCUCUUCUCUGGUGCAAUCUUACCGUUGAGUGGAAUUCCAACGUGGCUCAUUCUCCUUACUUCCCUCCAUUCCGUGAUGAUGUGUCAUAUUCUCCUUAAUUCUCCUACUCCAGUCAGAUUUUGCGUGGAACCUUACCAUUGGACAACCUGUAUCAUUUGUCUCCUUUUUAAAACGUUGGUUCACGUUUCUUCUUUUUUAAAUUUUCUGAAUCAUUCAAUGUGUAUCAACAAACUGUUUCAAAUUCAAAAAAAAAAAAACAAACUGUUUCAUUUAUUAAUUCCUUAUUUCCAAUCUACUCUCCUUGGAAUUGACUCACGGUGCCACCCUUCAUGCCCAAUCGUAAAUAUCCAUUUUUUUUCCCCACAAUUCUAAUCUCACGUGAUUCAAUUUGCCCAAUCAUGUUAAACUUUUUCCACUGAUCUUCAUUAACGGAGAAAUCUAUGGUGUCACCCAUUUUAUGGGGUUCACCGGUGCCCCCAUGGAAAAAACUUUAGUAAAAAGGGGGACACUGAAAAUCUAUUUAAUUUCCACCAUUGAUAUAAUAUUUAAAAAAUUGAAUGGUUUAGAUUAAAUUAACAAAGUGACCAAAAUACCCAUAUCAAACCCUAACUUUGUCUUCAAUUAAAAAAAAAAAAAACUUCUUUCUUCCUCCCAAUGCCCACAACCACCUCUGCAGCUCCGCCCACACCUGGUCCUCCUCCGCCCACGAUGCUGCAAAACCUUUGACUUCUUCCACCUCCCAUGACCAUCACGGCAUCACCCCACCCCUUAUUCUGCUAUAUUCAGAUUUAGUAAUACAUCUUCUCAACAAAAUGGAUCCUUUAACCAUAUCAUUUGGUUCUAUAUAUAUAAUAUAUAACUGGAUUUGAUGAAGAAGGCAACACACACGCUAAUAUUAAUCCAUGCUCUGUCUUGCAUGCAGCUUGCCAUCUGGAUCCUAUCCAGCCAAUUCCCACCGAGUCUCUCUGGAUAAUUUCCACUCAGUUGCGUGCUUGGGUGCUUAAGCCAUGGUACCUUAAUCAUGUUUAUCAAUAGCAGGCAUAGGCAUUCGUCUUAUGUACGUGGUAAACUUGUUAGUGAGGUGUUUUUCUAAAGGUGAUUUCUGUCCUACCUUAAAUCAGAUUAAGAUUUAAUACUUAGAAUGAUGUGUAUCAAUAAUAUAUAUGUUUUGAUUGAAAUAUUUGUAUUAACACUAGGAUUGUGACCCGUGCUGUGCACGGGGUCUUUAUACACAAUUUUUUUAUGUUAAUAUCUAAUCGAACAAUAUAGCAAUUGAGUGCG